AUACGGAGGGUGCAAGCGUUAAUCGGAAUUACUGGGCGUAAAGCGCGCGUAGGCGGAUUGUUAAGUCUCAUGUGAAAGCCCUGGGCUCAACCUGGGAACUGCAUGGGAUACUGGCAGUCUCGAAUACAGUAGAGGGUAGUGGAAUUUCAGGUGUAGCGGUGAAAUGCGUAGAGAUCUGAAGGAACAUCAGUGGCGAAGGCGACUACCUGGACUGAUAUUGACGCUGAGGUGCGAAAGCGUGGGGAGCAAACAGGAUUAGAAACCCUAGUAGUCC
This 274-nucleotide ribosomal RNA is filed under the name uncultured bacterium. RNAcentral's name for it is "partial 16S ribosomal RNA". It matches the Rfam family "Bacterial small subunit ribosomal RNA", at positions 523 to 796 of the family's 1533-position model. The record is from RNAcentral.